AUUGAACGCUGGCGGCAGGCCUAACACAUGCGAGUCGAGCGGAUGAAGGGAGCUUGCUCCGGGUUUCAGCGGCGGAAGGGGGAGUAAUGCCUAGGAAUAUGCCUGGUAGGGGGGGAUAACGUCCGGAAACGGGCGCUAAUACCGCAUACGUCGUGAGGGAGAAGGAGGGGGGGCUUCGGACCGCUCCCUCUGAGGGGGGCCGAGGUGGGGUUGGCUAGUUGGUGGGGUAAGGGCCUGCCAAGGCGAGGAUCCGUAACUGGUCGGAGUGGAUGAUCGGUCACCCUGGAACUUGAACACGGUCCAGAGUCCUGCGGGAGGGCGCAGUGGGGAAUAUUGGGCAAUGGGCGGAAGCCUUGUCCAACCAUGCCGCGUGUGUGAAGAAGGUCUUCGGAUUGUAAAGCACUUUAAGUUGGUAGGAAGGGCAGUAAGUUAAUACCUUGCUGUUUUGACGUUACCAACAGAAUAAGCACCGGCUAACUUCGUG
RNAcentral lists this ribosomal RNA (484 nucleotides) under uncultured bacterium. RNAcentral describes it as "partial 16S ribosomal RNA". It matches the Rfam family "Bacterial small subunit ribosomal RNA", at positions 28 to 507 of the family's 1533-position model. The record is from RNAcentral.